Vidua chalybeata is the source of this 431-nucleotide long non-coding RNA. RefSeq lists it as uncharacterized. The record is from RefSeq and is a predicted model, not a curated record. Lineage: Eukaryota; Metazoa; Chordata; Aves; Passeriformes; Viduidae. The transcript has 3 exons.
UGAGUGUGCCUGAGCUCAGCCAUUCCUGCGUUUUCGAGUGGCCAUGGCUCAACCAAGACAGUGAAGGAAAGAAAAAUCUCAAAAGAUCCUCUAGCAAGAUCCCUUGAAUUGCAGAAACCCAGGAGUUAAACUGCAAAACCUAACCUCAGCAGCCACGGAUCCAAUACAGCACAGGAGGGGCUGCACAAGCUGGAAUCUUCUUUGACUUAAGAAUUUUCAUCGUUAAUCAUUCAGAGUUGUGCAAAUGAGCCCUGGAGAUGGGAAAGCAAAGAGGCUUAUUCCACCUGUGUGGGGGGACUCCAACUCAGUGCUGCUUGGGAAGGGUCUCAAAUGGAGUAAGACAGCAAACAAAAUAUUCCACAGACUUCUUACAAUGAGUUAACUGUGGGUAGACAUGACACCUCUCCUAAUGACCAACUAUUUGAUGAAAA